Molecule: ribosomal RNA, 623 nt
Filed under: uncultured bacterium
Lineage: Bacteria
Description: bacterial SSU rRNA
Rfam family: Bacterial small subunit ribosomal RNA
Source: RNAcentral
GAGUUUGAUCCUGGCUCAGGACGAACGCUGGCGGCGUGCCUAACACAUGCAAGUCAAGGCGUAGCUUCGGCUACGACUGGCGCACGGGUGAGUAACGCGUAGGUAACCUACCCCUACCCCUGACAUAACACCGAGAAAUCGGUGCUAAUAUCAGAUGAGGAGCCGAAAGGUUCCAAAGGGGCAACCCGGGUAGGGAUGGGCCUGCGUCCGAUUAGGUAGUCGGUAGGGUAAUGGCCUACCAAGCCGACGAUCGGUAGCUGGCCUGAGAGGGUGGUCAGCCACACUGGGACUGAGACACGGCCCAGACUCCUACGGGAGGCAGCAGUGAGGAAUAUUGGGCAAUGGGCGAAAGCCUGACCCAGCGACGCCGCGUGUGGGAUGACGGAGCUCUGCUUCGUAAACCACUGUCGGAGGGGAAGAAAAGCGGGGACGCCCCGCUGGGACUGUACCCUCAGAGGAAGGAUCGGCUAACUACGUGCCAGCAGCCGCGGUAAAACGUAGGAUCCGAGCGUUGUCCGGAAUCACUGGGUGUAAAGGGUGCGUAGGCGGGCUUGCGCGUCAAGGGUUAAAGACCUCGGCUCAACCGAGGGAAUGCCCUUGAUACGGCAGGUCUUGAGUGCGGG